RNAcentral lists this transfer RNA (73 nucleotides) under Ursus americanus (American black bear). It matches the Rfam family "tRNA". From Rfam's summary of the family: Transfer RNA (tRNA) molecules are approximately 80 nucleotides in length. Their secondary structure includes four short double-helical elements and three loops (D, anti-codon, and T loops). RNAcentral also lists the same sequence under 2 other names. Lineage: Eukaryota; Metazoa; Chordata; Mammalia; Carnivora; Ursidae. The record is from Rfam by way of RNAcentral.
GCCUAGCUGGCUCAGUAGGUAGAGCAUGCAACUCCUGAUCUCGGGGUUGUGAGUUUGAACCCCAUGUUGGGUA